CUACGGGACGCUCCAGUAAGGAAUAUUGCACAAUGGGGGAAACCCUGAUGCAGCAACGCCGCGUGGACGAAGAAGGCCUUCGGGUCGUAAAGUCCUUUUCUGAGGGAAGAGGAAGGACGGUACCUCAGGAAUAAGUCUCGGCUAACUACGUGCCAGCAGCCGCGGUAAAACGUAGGAGGCGAGCGUUAUCCGGAUUCACUGGGCGUAAAGGGCAAGUAGGCGGUUGUUUAAGUUAGGUGUGACAUCUCUCGGCUUAACUGGGAGGGAGCGCUUAAAACUAGGCAACUAGAGGGCGGAAGAAGGGGGUAGAACUCCAAAUGUAGCGGUGGAAUGCUCAGAUAUUUGGAAGAAUACCAGUGGCGAAGGCGACCCCCCGGUCCGUGCCUGACGCUGAGAGGCGAAAGCUAGGGUAGCGAACGGGAUUAGAUACCCUGGUAGUC
This 440-nucleotide ribosomal RNA is filed under the name uncultured bacterium. RNAcentral's name for it is "partial 16S ribosomal RNA". It matches the Rfam family "Bacterial small subunit ribosomal RNA", at positions 339 to 795 of the family's 1533-position model. The record is from RNAcentral.